ACGAACGCUGGCGGCGUGCUUAACACCUGCAAGUCGAACGGAAAGGCCCUGCUUUUGUGGGGUGCUCGAGUGGCGAACGGGUGAGUAACACGUGAGUAACCUGCCCUUGACUUUGGGAUAACUUCAGGAAACUGGGGCUAAUACCGGAUAGGAGCUCCUGCUGCAUGGUGGGGGUUGGAAAGUUUCGGCGGUUGGGGAUGGACUCGCGGCUUAUCAGCUUGUUGGUGGGGUAGUGGCUUACCAAGGCUUUGACGGGUAGCCGGCCUGAGAGGGUGACCGGCCACAUUGGGACUGAGAUACGGCCCAGACUCCUACGGGAGGCAGCAGUGGGGAAUAUUGCACAAUGGGCGGAAGCCUGAUGUAGCAACGCCGCGUGCGGGAUGACGGCCUUCGGGUUGUAAACCGCUUUCGCCUGUGACGAAGCGUGAGUGACGGUAAUGGGUAAAGAAGCACCGGCUAACUACGUG
This 467-nucleotide ribosomal RNA is filed under the name uncultured bacterium. RNAcentral's name for it is "partial 16S ribosomal RNA". It matches the Rfam family "Bacterial small subunit ribosomal RNA", at positions 29 to 507 of the family's 1533-position model. The record is from RNAcentral.